Molecule: long non-coding RNA, 1787 nt
Filed under: Equus caballus (horse)
Lineage: Eukaryota; Metazoa; Chordata; Mammalia; Perissodactyla; Equidae
Description: lncRNA (ENSECAG00000047360.1)
Source: RNAcentral
GAAUCCCAUCACAUUCUAAUAGGUGGUUACAGCAUUACUCACACUGCAAAGAUGGCAGAACUGAGUCACAGGUGUUUAUAUUGAUUAUUCAACAAGUGACAGAACUAAGGUUUGUCACUUGAACCGAUGGUCGCCUGACUCUAAACAUUCACUCUGGUCCUUUGUGGCUUGAAGAUGUCCCUUCCCUUGUGAGCAGCUCAUGCGUGGACCAGGAGAGCAGAUGAGCAGGCAUCCACAUACAAGUGGGCUGAUGAACGGAUGUCCAACCAGAGAUGUCCCUCUGUUUUGUCCCCAUACACAUGUCCUUCUCUCCCCAGGCCCGAAAGGGUGGAGCAGCCACUGGGGUUGACACUGUCUGCGUCCACCAUCCUGACUCUGUGGACCUCACGCUGGACAUGGAGUGGCUCUGCUGAGAGCUGAGCCACCAGCCCCAUGGUGUCGCCCGGCUUGCACAGGGACUGUCUCUGCGUUACACCAGACCAGCCUUGACCUCCAUCCCCAGUGGUUCUGUGACUUCUAUACCCUCCUUGAGAACCCCAGAGGCUCCAGUCUCCUCCACCUCUACAGAAAGAGCCUUCCCUCUGUGUCUCCUUCCUUCCCACCUCCAUGCCUCCAUGCUUAGCCUUGAGAAGGACCAGAGAUCAUGCACAGGCAGCUCAAGGCUGGGGGACAGAGUGGGAGGAUGAACCUUUGGGUCUAUACCCUCACCACAGACCCGUCCAGCUCCACCCCUGGGUUUGGAGAGCUCUGUGACUCCAGGUUCUCAGUUCCAGACUGAAGCAGUGGCUCCUUUUAAUCCACCCCUUGCUUUCUGUUAAGGUUUGGUAUCAGUUAGUUUUACUGCAUAACAAACAACCCGCACAUUUACUGGAUUAAAACACUGAUCAUUGAUUACUGCUCACUAGUGUGCAGGUCAGCUGGGCAGCGCCUCUGGCUUGAACGGGGCUUCCUUACGUGUCUGCCAUUGCCUGCAGGUGAGCUGGGUGACUGCUCCUGGAGGACACCUGACUGAUGGAGAGGUCGCCUUGGUUGUCCUUCCUCUGACCUCAGCAUCCAGCAGACCAGCCCCGGCUCAUUCAUGUGCUCACAGAGCUCCCAGAGGGCAAGCCCCAGAACACAAGCAUUUUUCCAGCCUUUGCUCGCAUCAGGUUUCUCUCAUCCCUUUGACCAAAGCAAGUCAUGGCCAAGCCGGAGUCAUGGGGUGGAGGUGGCCUCCCCACCUUGGUCUCAGGGGCUGCAACACCAUGUUGAAGGUGUCGUUGCAGGGAGCUGAGGAAUUUGUGGCCAUUUUUACAGCCCUUCCCAGGUGACCUGCCAGGACCAACUCGUGACCAUGUUGGCCUCAGGGGACCUGGAGGGGUCAGUCAGUGAGGCCAGAUCCAGUGGUGCCUUCUGGAACAAUUCCUGAAACUUCCCCUUCUCCCAGAAUGGAAUGGACACCGUCAAGGGCAAACCCAGGACUAAUUCCCAAGGGGCAGGGGAUAGAGGGGUGGGCAGAGAAAGCAGGCAUAAUAAUAACAACAGUACAGCAAAGCAAUGACAGCAGCCUUCACUGAUUGUCACAUAACAGGGACCUUGCUUCACACGUAUGACCUUCAGCCACUGCAGGUAGACACUGCUGUUUCUCCAUUUGAGAGAGGCACAGGCUGGUUCUUGGGGGCUCAGUGAUUUUCUGAGGCCGCACAGCCAGCAGAUGCACAGGACUCAACUCUAAGUCAUUCAAACCCUAGAGUCUGAGCUUUUGCUCUAAAAUAGCUGUGUGGCCUUGGGGAAGUGACUUAACCUCU